Long non-coding RNA from Oncorhynchus keta (chum salmon), 4753 nucleotides. RefSeq lists it as uncharacterized. The record is from RefSeq and is a predicted model, not a curated record. The transcript is spliced from 3 exons. Lineage: Eukaryota; Metazoa; Chordata; Actinopteri; Salmoniformes; Salmonidae.
UUCCUUGCGAUUUGGAGCUGUAUACAGUUGACGUAAGAAAAAUCUAAAUGUCUGUGUUUGCAGCCAGCAUUUUCAGACAGAGGAUUUCGAAACGGAACUGAAGUCUCAAUGAUGGGGUUGCAAUGUCGUUGAGCUUUGAAAAUUGAUGAUAUUCCAUUGAAAUUCCCCUUCACCUCAAAGAGGAAGGCAUCUGAUCCGCGCAGCAGAAAAUAAGUUAAGCUGAGUAGUACAGCGCCUGUAGACCCAUUGGAUGAAAGCUUUCAGCCUGAAAUAAGCUCAAGCUCAACAACAUCUGAAUUUGAAACAAGCCAGGACAGCCAAAGAUGAACACAGAUCAUUGUAUGGUUACACAUCCUCAUGAUCAGUCUUAAUGGCUUUCCAGGAGACUUGCAGUACAAACAAAUCUUCUGCAAGAGGUCGAAUCAGUGGGGAGUGAAAAGGUGUACGAGAGGCCACAUGGCUGUGAAGUGCAGAAAAGAGCAGACUGUUGUCUACAAGGAGCCAGAGUCACAGCUCCACUAAACAUCUCUGGCAACAUCACCCCAGCGCCAAAGCCUGUUAAACCAGCUAUCAUUUCCCAACACAAGAAGAGGUUCACCAGCUGAGAAACAUUCAGGAACCUACCUGGAACAUUCAACCAACAUAACAUCCAUAUUUUGUAAUAUAAUAUGUAAAUGCCUAGUAUGAUUACAACUGCAUUGUGGUAUAUAUGUUGCUAGCUGUUGUACAUACAGUUGAAGUGGGAUGUUUACAUACACUUAGGUUGGAGUCAUUCAAAUUUGAUUUUCAACCACAAAACAAAUUUCUUGUUAAUAAACUAUAGUUUUGACAAGUCAGUUAGGACAUUUAAUUUGUGCAUGACACAAGUCAUUUUUCCAACAAUUGUUUACAGACAGAUUAUUACACUUAUAAUUCACUGUAUCACAUUUCCAGUGGGUCAGAAGUUUAAACACACUAAGUUGACUGUGCCUUUAAACAGCUUGGAAAAUUCCAGAAAAUCAUGGCUUUAGAGGCUUCUGAUAGGCUAAUUGACAUCAUUUGAGUCAAUUGGAGGUGUACCUGUGGAUGUAUUUCAAGGCCUACCUUCAAACUCAGUGCCUCUUUGCUUGACAUGGGAAAAUCAAAAGAAAUCAGCCAAGACCUCAGAAAAAAAAUUGUAGACCUCCACAAGUCUGGUUCAUCAUUGGGAACAAUUUCCAAACGCCUGAAGGUACCACGUUCAUCUGUACAAACAAUAGUACGCAAGUAUAAACACCAUGGGACCACGCAGCCGUCAUACCGCUCAGGAAGGAGACGUGUUCUGUCUCCUAGAGAUGAAAGUACUUUGGUGCAAAAAGUGCAAAUCAAUCCCAGAACAACAGCAAAGGACCUUGUGAAGAUGCUGGAGGAAACCGGUACAAAAGUAUCUAUAUCCACAGUAAGACAAGUCCUAUAUCGACAUAACCUGAAAGGCCGCUCAGCAAGAAAGAACCCGCUGCUCCAAAACGGCCAUAAAAAAGCAAAACUACGGUUUGCAAAUGCACAUGGAGAAAUGUCCUCUGGUCUGAUGAAACAAAAAUAAAACUGUUUGGCCAUAAUGACCAUCGUUAUGUUUGGAAGAAAAAGGGGAACGCUUGCAAGCCGAAGAACACCAUCCCAUCCGUGAAGCGGAUGGUGGCAGCAUCAUGUUGUGAGGGUGCUUUGCUGCAGGAGGGACUGGUGCACUUCACAAAAUAGAUGGCACCAUGACGAAGGAAAAUUAUGUGGGUAUAUUGAAGCAACAUCUCAAGACAUCAGUCAGAAAGAUAAAGCUUGGUCGCAAAUGGGUCUUCCAAAUGGACAAUGACCCCAAGCAUACUUCUAAAGUUGUGGCAAAAUGGCUUAAGGACAACAAAGUCAAGGUAUUGGAGUGGCCAUCACAAAGCCCUGACCUUAAUCCUAUAGAAAAUGUGUGGGCAGAACUGAAAAGGCGUGGAGGACUACAAACCUGACUCAGUUACACCAGCUCUGUCAGGAGGAAUGGGCCAAAAUUCACCCAAUUUAUUGUGGGAAGCUUGUGGAAGGCUACAUGAAAUGCUUGACCCAAGUUAAACAAUUUAAAGGCAAUGCUACCAAAUACUAAUUUAGUUUAUGUAAACUUCUGACCCACUGGGAAUGUGAUGAAAGAAAUAAAAGCUGAAAUAGUUAAUUAUCUCUACUAUUAUUCUGACAUUUCACAUUCUUAAACUCAAGUGGUGAUACAAACUGACCUAAGACAGGGAAUUUUUACAAGGAUUAUAUGUCAGGAAUUGUGAAAAACUGAGUUGAAAUGUAUUUGGCUAAGGUGUAUGUAAACUUCCAACUUUAACUGUAUGGACAGUGCCUUCGGAAAGUAUUCAGACCCCUUGACUUUUUCCACAUUUUGUUAUGUUGCAGCCUUAUUCUAAAAUGGAUUGAAAGAAAACAUUCUCCUCAUCAAUCUACACACAAUACCCCAUAAUGACAAAGUGAAAACAGGUUUUUAGAGAUUUAAGAAAAUGUAUUAAAAAUAAAAAGACCCCUUAUUUAUGUAAGUAUUCAGACUCUUUGCUAUGAGACUGUUUCCAUUGAUCAUCCUUGAGAUGUUUCGACAACUUGAUUGGAGUCCACCUGUGGUAAAUUCAAUCGAUUGGACAUGAUUUGGAAAGGCACACACCUGUCUAUAUAAGGUCCCACAGUGCAUGUCAGAGCAAAAACCAUGCCAUGAGGUUGAAGGAAUUGUCCGUAGAACUCAGAGACAGGAUUGUGUCGUGGCACAGAUCUGGGGAAGGGUACCAAACAUUUCUGCAACAUUGAAGGUCCCCAAGAACACAGUGGCUUCCAUAAUUCUUAAAUGGAAGGAGUUUGGAACUACCAAGACUUUUCCUAGAACUGAGCAAUCGGGGGAGAAGGGCCUUGGUCAGGGAGGUGAACAACAAUCCGAUGGUUACUCUGACAGAGCUCCAGAGUUCCUCUGUGGAGAUGGGAGAACCUUCCAGAAGGAUAACCAUCUCUGCAGCACUCCACCAAUUAAGCUUUUAUGGUAGAGUGGCUAGAUGGAAGCCACAUGACAGCCCGCUAGGAGUUUUCCAAAAGGCACCUAAAGGACUCUCCGACCUUGAGAAACAAGAUUCUCUGGUCUGAUGAACAAGAUUUUACUAUUUAGCCUGAAUGCCAGUGCUGGAGCACUCGGGACCUCAGACUGGGGCGAUGGUUCACCUUCCAACAGGACAACGAUCCUGAGCACACAGCUAAGAUAACGCAGGAGUGGCUUCAGGACAAAUCUCUGAAUGUCAUUGAGUGGCCCAGCCAGAGCCCGGACUUGAACCCGAUCCAACAUCUCUGGAGAGACCUGAAAAUAGCUGUGCCGCGACGCUCCCUAUCCAACUUGACAGAGCUUGAGAGGAUCUGCAGAGAAAUACAGGUGUGCCAAGCUUGUAGCGUCAUACCCAAGAAUACUCGAGGCUGUAAACGCUGCUAAAGGUGCUUCAGAGAAGUACAGAGUAAAGUGUCUGAAUACUUGUGUGAAUGCGAUAUUUCAGUUCUUUAUUUUUUUAAAUAAAUUUGCAAAAAUGUCUAAAUGUGUUUUUGCUUGGUCACUAUGGGGUAUUGUGUGUAGAUUGAGGGGGGGGGAACAAUGUAAUCAAUUUUAGAAUAAGGCUGUAACGUAACAUGGGGAAAGUCAAGGGGUCUGAAUACUUUCCAAGUACAUUGUAAAUAGUGUUUUUUUUUAUUUAUUUUUUUAUACAAAUGUAUUGACAAGUGACGACAGCUGUAUCAGAAACCAAUAAAGUGUCGAUGACAACUUCUGGAUCAAUUCAUUGUGAAAUUCUUGAAAUGUAGUUGGAUAAACUAGCUUCAAGCUUAAUGCUAAAAUAAAUUAUGCAGGGAGUUGGUGUAUCAUUUAAACUUUAAUUUGAUGGCAAGUAAACAUGCUUCAGUAAAUUAGUCUGUCAAGAUAGCAAAUAAAUAGACAUGGCUCGUAUUCAAAACAACGUUUAUUUUUUUCAAUGUGAGUUUACACAGCAGGAACAGUUAUGCCAAUUUAUGACAUACAGUACUAGUCUAAAGUUCGGAGACACCUACUCAUUCAAGGGUUUUAGUUUUUAAAAAACAAUUUUGUGCAUUGUAGAAUAAUAGUGAAGACCUCAAAACUAUGAAAUAACGCAUAUGGAAUCAUGUAGUAUCAAAAGUGUUAAACAAAUCCAAAUAUAUUUGAGAGUCUUCAAAGUAGCCACGCUUUGCCUUGAUGACAGCUUUGCACACUCUUGGCAUUCUCUCAACCAGAAAAUAAUAAAAAUCAAGAAAACUCUGGAAUUAGUAGGUUUGUCCAAACUUUUGACUGGUACUGUAUGUACAGUUCUUUAUUUUCCUAAUGAGUGGCACUGAGGCUAGCUAGGCUAGUUAUCCAGCUAGCUAUAAUGCUAGACUACAGUACAUUUUAGGUUUAGCAAACAUACCUAGCUAGCUAGCGAAACUUGGCUAGCUUGGCUUGUUGUGGUACUAGCAAGGCCGUUAUGGCUGAAUCGAUGCGAAUCUUGCGUAGAAAGAGCUUGUAUUGUUACAGUAGCUCUGUACCGACCGCAAAACAACUUACUUAUUUGUCAUUUGCCCUCCCGAGUCCUGUUCCAGCUGGUUUGAGCUGCUGCCACUACUUGCUGGACUCGCAAUUACUUUUCUUUCUUGCUCUUCAGUGUUUUCUGGAUCAAAUGACUGUAUGUUCCUAUGUAAAAUAACAACAAAUAAAUCGUCACCCAGCUCUUCUUGGAAAAAGGAA